Molecule: ribosomal RNA, 241 nt
Filed under: Thelephoraceae sp.
Lineage: Eukaryota; Fungi; Basidiomycota; Agaricomycetes; Thelephorales; Thelephoraceae
Description: partial large subunit ribosomal RNA
Source: RNAcentral
AAACGCUUGAAGUCAGUCGCAUCGACCGAGACUCAGCCUUGCCUCGGCUUGGUGUACUUCUCGGCUGAUGGGUCAGCAUCGAUUUUGACCGUUGGAAAAAGGCUUGGGGAAUGUGGCACUUUCGGGUGUGUUAUAGCCCUCUGUCGUAUGCAACGGUUGGGAUUGAGGACUGCAGCACGCCUUUAUGGCCGGGGUUCGCCCACGUACGUGCUUAGGAUGUUGGCAUAAUGGCUUUAAGCGA